GGCUCAGGAUGAACGCUGGCGGCGUGCCUAACACAUGCAAGUCGAACGGGGUUUAUAAUAUGAAGUUUCGGACGGAAUAUUGUAAACCUAGUGGCGGACGGGUGAGUAACGCGUGGGCAACCUGCCCCAUACAGGGGGAUAACAGCCGGAAACGGCUGCUAAAACCGCAUGAAACUGCGCUGCCGCAUGGCGGUGCAGCCAAAUAUUUAUAGGUAUGGGAUGGGCCCGCGUCUGAUUAGCUAGUUGGUAAGGUAACGGCCUACCAAGGCGACGAUCAGUAGCCGGCUUGAGAGAGUGACCGGCCACAUUGGGACUGAGACACGGCCCAAACUCCUACGGGAGGCAGCAGUAGGGAAUCUUCCGCAAUGGACGAAAGUCUGACGGAGCAACGCCGCGUGAGUGAAGAAGGUUUUUUCCGGAUCGUAAAACUCUGUUGUCAGAGAAGAACAAGUUGGAGAGUAACUGCUCCAGCCUUGACGGUAUCUGACCAGAAAGCCACGGCUAACUACGUGCCAGCAGCAGC
This 523-nucleotide ribosomal RNA is filed under the name uncultured bacterium. Its description in RNAcentral is "bacterial SSU rRNA". It matches the Rfam family "Bacterial small subunit ribosomal RNA", at positions 21 to 518 of the family's 1533-position model. The record is from RNAcentral.